UGGAAGUCAAAUUAUGGUGUCUGGUUAGCUCUCCACUUGGCUAGGCAUGUUAAUGAAUAUCCUCUUGCCUCAGUAAGGAUGGAUUUCACACAAGCAGAUCACAAUGAAUAUUUGGUAUUCAACCUGCGUUGCUUGCUCUGAUGGGACUCACAGCUCAUAUGUUUCCUUCAGGGUGAUGCAAGACCUGAUUUAAACCUUGGCUCUAUGCACACACCACAUUGCUCCUUUGGGUACACUUCUAUUUGCAGUUCAUCAGUUACAGAAAAGAAGAUGGGAUAAAACCUGAGAGAGGCUGAAUGCAUUGACUCCUAUUGACUUCAUUAGAUGUUUAGGGGCAAAACCCUUUGUAGGAGGAUCAUGCUCUAAUCUAAGUGUGCCAGUUGCCAAAGGGUCCGUUCAAAUGAAGAAUCCAAUGAUUCUUUCCAAGCCUAUCCUGCGACAGCGAUGGCAUCAUUUGCCUUAAAUGGGAGGUGGUGUAUCCUGUCCUCUGACAUGCAUUUUCAAGUCUAUACCACAACUGCCCGUUGAUCAUGAUGGUUUUUUGUAACAACCACCCCUCCUCUCCAUUUGGAAACAGGUUCUUGAAAAUCGCCUUGGAUUUAUUAAGAGGUAAAAUAAUCCUGAAUAAAACGAAUAUAC
This is a long non-coding RNA of Dermochelys coriacea (leatherback sea turtle), 639 nucleotides long. RefSeq lists it as uncharacterized. Lineage: Eukaryota; Metazoa; Chordata; Testudines; Dermochelyidae. The record is from RefSeq and is a predicted model, not a curated record. The transcript is spliced from 3 exons.